This 1325-nucleotide long non-coding RNA is filed under the name Marmota monax (woodchuck). The record is from RNAcentral. Lineage: Eukaryota; Metazoa; Chordata; Mammalia; Rodentia; Sciuridae.
GCUGGUCAUGCCCAUAUCCUUGAUUAGGAGGAACAAUAGUUUCCAAGAAACCCUAGCAAAUUCUGCUUAUGUUUCUUUAUUGCCUGUUCAGCCUCUAGAGGGAAAGCAACAGGGCCAAGGGGAAUUUGGACUGAGACUCAGGUCAGGUCAGUUAGCAGUAUUAGCCACACUGACCCAUUGAUUCCUUCCUUUUUAUAGGCAGAUGACUAUGCUUUUGACUACUGCAUUAUAGAAAAAAUGAUGAGGACCCUAACAAUCUCCUGCCACUAAAUUUUCCAACUUAUUUGUACUCCACCCAUUUUUCCUCUCUCCUUUCUCUCAGGAUAAAAGAGAGCUAUCUCCUUUGAUCCUUACCCUUCCUUCCCAUGUAUUUUAGUCACCUUUUCUGUUGCCAUGACAAAGCUUAACAAGAACAAUUUUAGAGGAGGAAAAGUUUAUUUGGAGGCUCAUGGUUUCAGAGGUCUCAGUCCGUGGACAACCAACUCCAUUGCUCUGGGCACGAAAUGUGACAGAACAUCAUGGCAGAAGAGAGUAGUGGAGGAAAGUAGCUCAGGACAUGGCCACCAGGAAGCAGAGAGUUUUCCUCUCACCAAGAACAAAAUAUAUAACCCAAAGCUGUAUCCCAGCAACCCACCUACCCCAGCCACACCCUACCUGCCUAUGGUUACCACCCAGUUAAUCCCUAUCAGGGGAUUAAUGCAUUAAGACUCUCACCCAUUAUUUUACCUCUAAACUUUUUUGCAUUGUUUCACAUAUAAAUUUUUGAAGGACACAUCACAGCUAAACCAUAACACCAGUCCAUAGGGCUUUGGCUGCCACUGCUCAUUCUCUCUCUUCUGCUUCUUUACCCACUGUCUUCCUUUAGGAUCCAUCACUUCAACAUUUAAAAAUGCUGUUGUGAUCUCCCUCCAACUUAAACUUUUCCAGCAUAUAUCUGCAAAAUCAAGGUGGUAGCUAGUCUCUGAGUGAGGGGACACUUAAUGGUUCUUGAUUUUGCCCUCAUCAUAUACAUUCAUUUCUUUCUACCAGAAUAAUCUUUCUAAAGCACAAAUGGUAUCAUGUUCUUUCUUGCUUAAAGUGGGUUUCCCACUGCUUUUAGGAUAGAGUGAGACCUGCUUUAUGAGUUUUUGAGGUUUUUUAUGAUCUGAAUACAAUGGCACUUACAAUUUUCUCUCUUGCCAUUGGCUUCUUUCAUGCUACAGCUAUUUUGAAUGAUCAGAAGUCCUUCUCCUGACUCUGCACCUUAAUGUGUCUUUUUUGAACUUCUAGACAGCUUCCACAUGUCAUCACACCCCCUUGUAUUCCUCAUGUUCUCAUUAAAGUGC